RNAcentral lists this long non-coding RNA (660 nucleotides) under Zonotrichia albicollis (white-throated sparrow). RNAcentral's name for it is "lncRNA (ENSZALG00000008027.1)". The record is from RNAcentral. Lineage: Eukaryota; Metazoa; Chordata; Aves; Passeriformes; Passerellidae.
AUGACAAGAUCCCAAUUAAAAAAUAUUUUGUCUCAUAGAUUCAUGCGACAAUGUAACUUUUUUAGUUCAUUGCAACACACAAACUUACAGCGCCGUAAUUUAAAUUUCUUGAUUACUUUUAUAACUAUUUUUAUCUGCAUUUUAACUUUUAAAAGCCUGAAGUUUCCUUUACUUAGCUUAACGUGUGUCUGCUUUAAACCACACAUCCACAUUCUCACUUCUGAGUUGAGUGAGUUUCUAAAUUUAAGUUCUAAACACCGUGUCUGGAAUGCCAGUGCAAUUCCAAUGCCAUUUAUUCCACAGGGAAAGCCCAGGGAGGGGAUGCUCCUUUCCCUGACCAGGAGAGCUGCAGGCUCUGGGUCUGCACUCAAGGCCAGGUCACUGCUGUGGAUUCAAACACGGAUUGCUCUUGGCCAUGUCACGCUGGGUUAUGCAGAGCUGCUGCACUUUCCAUUUAUAGUGUAUUUUGGAGUUUCAGAACAAAUUACAGCUGCUUCUUUUCUAUCAGACCCCUGUGUCCUGGCUUAGCCUGCUCCCCUCUCCUCAAAGCCUGGGUACAAAUCACCCGGUGAUCCUGACUGCUAAUGAAACCUGGAUUAAAUUAGCGUGCCGCUCAGUUGUCAGUGUUCUCAGUGGGUUUAUCUCCCUGUGGGAUCUCAG